Molecule: unclassified non-coding RNA, 266 nt
Filed under: Hevea brasiliensis (rubber tree)
Lineage: Eukaryota; Viridiplantae; Streptophyta; Magnoliopsida; Malpighiales; Euphorbiaceae
Source: RNAcentral
AGGGCGAAAAAAAAAAAGACAGGUUCACUAAGACAGACCUACAUAUUAGUCUACCUUUUAAAAACAAAAAACUAAAAGAGAGAGAAAUAAUUAGAAAAUAAAUACACAAAUCAUCAGAACAAGCUUCACAUUUCAUCAUGAUCCAGCACAACCAAACUCUAUUGGAUAUCAUUUCUUUUGACAUUUUAAAUGUAUCCUUAACAUCUGCAAUCUUAGAAGAAAUAUUUUGUCAAGGUAUUACUGGUAGCAUAAUUGUAUAUGUAUGU